UGAGCCUACGGGGCGCAGCAGUAGGGAAUUUUCGUCAAUGGGCGCAAGCCUGAACGAGCAAUGCCGCGUGAACGAGGAAGGUCUUCGGAUCGUAAAGUUCUGUUGAAGGGGAAACAGAGCGGAGAGAGGAAAUGGUCUCUGAUUGAUAUUACCCUUCGAGGAAGUCACGGCUAACUACGUGCCAGCAGCCGCGGUAAUACGAUGGUGGCGAGCGUUAUCCGGAAUGAUUGGGCGUAAAGGGUGCGUAGGCGGCCUGCUAAGCCUGGAGUGAAAGGU
RNAcentral lists this ribosomal RNA (276 nucleotides) under uncultured bacterium. RNAcentral's name for it is "partial 16S ribosomal RNA". It matches the Rfam family "Bacterial small subunit ribosomal RNA", at positions 333 to 602 of the family's 1533-position model. The record is from RNAcentral.